ACAGAGGGUGCGAGCGUUGUCCGGAAUCACUGGGCGUAAAGGGCGCGUAGGUGGCCUGAUAAGUAGGGGGUGAAAUCUCGAGGCUCAUCUUCGAGGCUGCCUCCUAAACUGUCGGGCUUGAGCAGAGUAGAGGCAGGUGGAAUUCCCGGUGUAGCGGUGGAAUGCGUAGAGAUCGGGAAGAACAUCGGUGGCGAAGGCGGCCUGCUGGGCUCUUGCUGACACUGAGGUGCGACAGCGUGGGGAGCAAACAGGA
Molecule: ribosomal RNA, 253 nt
Filed under: uncultured prokaryote
Description: partial 16S ribosomal RNA
Rfam family: Bacterial small subunit ribosomal RNA
Source: RNAcentral